GUAAAGCGCGCGUAGGCGGAUAGAUAAGUCAGAUGUGAAAUCCCCGGGCUCAACCUGGGAACUGCAUUUGAUACUGUCUAUCUAGAGUGUGGUAGAGGUGAGUGGAAUUUCAGGUGUAGCGGUGAAAUGCGUAGAGAUCUGAAGGAACAUCAGUGGCGAAGGCGACUCACUGGGCCAUUACUGACGCUGAGGUGCGAAAGCGUGGGUAGCAAACAGGAUUAGAUACCCUGGUAGUCCACGCCCUAAACGAUGUCAACUAGGUGUAUGGAAUGUAUUUUCUGUGUAUCGAAGCUAACGCGAUAAGUUGACCGCCUGGGGAGUACGGUCGCAAGACUAAAACUCAAAUGAAUUGACGGGGGCCCGCACAAGCGGUGGAGCAUGUGGUUUAAUUCGAUGCAACGCGAAGAACCUUACCUGGCCUUGACAUGUACGGGAGAUAGAAGAGAUUUUAUUGUGCCUUCGGGAACCGUAACACAGGUGCUGCAUGGCU
Molecule: ribosomal RNA, 490 nt
Filed under: uncultured Methylophaga sp.
Lineage: Bacteria; Pseudomonadati; Pseudomonadota; Gammaproteobacteria; Thiotrichales; Piscirickettsiaceae
Description: bacterial SSU rRNA
Rfam family: Bacterial small subunit ribosomal RNA
Source: RNAcentral